GGGAACCGCCGGAUAGUUCGUGAGGUUUUGGCCCUCUCAAAAUCCAAUAACACCAAGCUAGUCUUCUUCUAUGAGACUAGACAGGAUGCAAUCAAGGUAGAGAAAAUGAGGUGGAGGCUAGGCCUAAAAGGCUUCCAUGGAGUCAGUAGUGAUGGAAGAAGCGGAGGGCUAGCAUUGUUUCGGGAUGAGAAUCUCAUAGUU
Molecule: ribosomal RNA, 201 nt
Filed under: Triticum aestivum (bread wheat)
Lineage: Eukaryota; Viridiplantae; Streptophyta; Magnoliopsida; Poales; Poaceae
Description: partial small subunit ribosomal RNA
Source: RNAcentral